This 322-nucleotide unclassified non-coding RNA is filed under the name rhizosphere metagenome. RNAcentral's name for it is "partial ribosomal RNA internal transcribed spacer region". The record is from RNAcentral.
GUAGGUGAACCUGCGGAAGGAUCAUUAUUGAAUAUUCUUGAUGGGUUGUAGCUGGCUCUCCGGGGCAUGUGCACACUUGUCUUGACUUAAUUCAUCCACCUGUGCACCUUUUGUAGUCUUGGGGGUUGAAAGCAGUCGACUAUCGGAUGGCUAUAAUAGCCUUUCGGACGUGAGGAAUGCUGAGUGCGAAAGCAUACAGCUCUUCUCAAAUGACUACUCCUCUCCUUCAAGUACUAUGUAUUCAUAUACCACAUAGUAUGUCGUAGAAUGUGAUCAAUGGGAUAAUCAUAUACAACUUUCAGCAACGGAUCUCUUGGCUCUC